GUAGCGUAAUCACCUGUCUUUUAAAUAAAGACCUGUAUGAAUGGCAAGACGAGGGUUUUACUGUCUCCUCCCCCCAGUCAAUGAAAUUGAUCUACCCGUGCAGAAGCGGGUAUAAAAACAUAAGACGAGAAGACCCUAUGGAGCUUUAGGCAUAUAUCAAAUAUGUAAAAAACCAAAUUUUUCCAAAUAGGCCUAAAAAAUGAGAAAAACAAGUAUUAAUGAUUAAGUGCCUUCGGUUGGGGCGACCACGGGGAAAAAUAAAACCCCCACAUGGAAUGGGAAAAAUAACCCUAAGCCAAGAAAAACACUUCUAAGCAACAAAAUUUUUGACCAAUAAACGACCCAGGGACACCAUCCCUGAGCAAUGAACCAAGUUACCCUAGGGAUAACAGCGCAAUCCUUUCCCAGAGCCCAUAUCAACGAAAGGGUUUACGACCUCGAUGUUGGAUCAGGGCAUCCUAACGGUGCAGCCGC
RNAcentral lists this ribosomal RNA (474 nucleotides) under Conger erebennus. RNAcentral's name for it is "partial 16S ribosomal RNA". It matches the Rfam family "Bacterial large subunit ribosomal RNA", at positions 1956 to 2562 of the family's 2925-position model. The record is from RNAcentral. Lineage: Eukaryota; Metazoa; Chordata; Actinopteri; Anguilliformes; Congridae.